GUGGGGAAUAUUGGACAAUGGGCGAAAGCCUGAUCCAGCCAUGCCGCGUGUGUGAAGAAGGUCUUCGGAUUGUAAAGCACUUUAAGUUGGGAGGAAGGGCAGUAAGUUAAUACCUUGCUGUUUUGACGUUACCGACAGAAUAAGCACCGGCUAACUUCGUGCCAGCAGCCGCGGUAAUACGAAGGGUGCAAGCGUUAAUCGGAAUUACUGGGCGUAAAGCGCGCGUAGGUGGUUUUGUAAGUUGGAGGUGAAAUCCCCGGGCUCAACCUGGGAACUGCCUCCAAAACUGCAUGACUAGAGUACGGUAGAGGGUAGUGGAAUUUCCUGUGUAGCGGUGAAAUGCGUAGAUAUAGGAAGGAACACCAGUGGCGAAGGCGACUACCUGGACUGAUACUGACACUGAGGUGCAAAAGCGUGGGGAGCAAACAGGAUUAGAAACCCCUGUAGUCC
This 450-nucleotide ribosomal RNA is filed under the name uncultured bacterium. Its description in RNAcentral is "partial 16S ribosomal RNA". It matches the Rfam family "Bacterial small subunit ribosomal RNA", at positions 354 to 796 of the family's 1533-position model. The record is from RNAcentral.